GACGAACGCUGGCGGCGUGCUUAACACAUGCAAGUCGAACGGAAAGGCCCUGCUUUUGUGGGGUGCUCGAGUGGCGAACGGGUGAGUAACACGUGAGUAACCUGCCCUUGACUUUGGGAUAACUUCAGGAAACUGGGGCUAAUACCGGAUAGGAGCUCCUGCUGCAUGGUGGGGGUUGGAAAGUUUCGGCGGUUGGGGAUGGACUCGCGGCUUAUCAGCUUGUUGGUGGGGUAGUGGCUUACCAAGGCUUUGACGGGUAGCCGGCCUGAGAGGGUGACCGGCCACAUUGGGACUGAGAUACGGCCCAGACUCCUACGGGGGGCAGCAGUGGGGAAUAUUGCACAAUGGGCGGAAGCCUGAUGCAACAACGCCGCGUGCGGGAUGACGGCCUUCGGGUUGUAAACCGCUUUCGCCUGUGACGAAGCGUGAGUGACGGUAAUGGGUAAAGAAGCACCGGCUAACUACGUG
This 468-nucleotide ribosomal RNA is filed under the name uncultured bacterium. Its description in RNAcentral is "partial 16S ribosomal RNA". It matches the Rfam family "Bacterial small subunit ribosomal RNA", at positions 28 to 507 of the family's 1533-position model. The record is from RNAcentral.